Molecule: ribosomal RNA, 654 nt
Filed under: Sarcocystis hjorti
Lineage: Eukaryota; Apicomplexa; Conoidasida; Eucoccidiorida; Sarcocystidae
Description: SSU rRNA
Rfam family: Eukaryotic small subunit ribosomal RNA
Source: RNAcentral
CUCAGGGAGGUAGUGACAAGAAAUAACAACACUGGAAAUUUUAUUUCUAGUGAUUGGAAUGAUGGGAAUUUAAACCCCUUUCAGAGUAACAAUUGGAGGGCAAGUCUGGUGCCAGCAGCCGCGGUAAUUCCAGCUCCAAUAGCGUAUAUUAAAGUUGUUGCAGUUAAAAAGCUCGUAGUUGGAUGUCUGCUGGAAGCAAUCAGUCCGCCCUAUUUGUAGGGUGUGCACUUGAUGAAUUCUGGCAUCUAUGUCCUAAUGUGAUAGAUACGGCGGUGUAUAUGGGUUAAUCCUAUAUACCCGUUUUUGUAUAUUAUAUUGGGAUAAUACCGUUACUUUGAGAAAAUUAGAGUGUUUGAAGCAGGCUAAUUGCCUUGAAUACUGCAGCAUGGAAUAACAAUAUAGGAUUUCGGUUCUAUUUUGUUGGUUUCUAGGACUGAAAUAAUGAUUAAUAGGGACAGUUGGGGGCAUUCGUAUUUAACUGUCAGAGGUGAAAUUCUUAGAUUUGUUAAAGACGAACUACUGCGAAAGCAUUUGCCAAAGAUGUUUUCAUUAAUCAAGAACGAAAGUUAGGGGCUCGAAGACGAUCAGAUACCGUCGUAGUCUUAACCAUAAACUAUGCCGACUAGAGAUAGGAAAAUGUCAUUUUUCUGACUU